CCGGGCUGGGGUAGUGGUAUCCUAUCACCUUGUGGUGGUGAUGACGUGGGUUCAAUUCCCGCGCCUGGA
RNAcentral lists this transfer RNA (69 nucleotides) under Halobacteriales archaeon QH_7_65_31. RNAcentral describes it as "tRNA-His". It matches the Rfam family "tRNA". Rfam says of the family: Transfer RNA (tRNA) molecules are approximately 80 nucleotides in length. Their secondary structure includes four short double-helical elements and three loops (D, anti-codon, and T loops). RNAcentral also lists the same sequence under 2 other names. The record is from RNAcentral. Lineage: Archaea; Methanobacteriati; Methanobacteriota; Halobacteria; Halobacteriales.